AUUAAUAAGCGGAGGAAGAGAAACCAACCGGGAUUCCCGAAGUAAGGGCGACUGAAACGGGAACAGCCCAGCGCAUAACCUCGCGGUCCUUAGAUGGCCGUCGAGGGGUGUUGCGUUUCGGUGGGUCCAUCCCGUCCGAGCCGCUCACCGCCUAAGUCAUUGCUUGAAAGCAGCCCCCAGGAGGGUGAGAGGCCCGUGUGGCGGCGCCCGUAAAAGGGGUGUAGGCGGCUCGGUCGGAGGGAUUUUCACCGCAGAGUCGGGUUGCUUAGUACUGCAGCCCUAAGCAGGUGGUAAACUCCAUCUAAGGCUAAAUAUGACCACGAGACCGAUAGGUGACAAGUACCGUGAGGGAAAGCUGAAAAGGACUUUGAAGAGAGAGUUCAUAAGGACGUGAAACCGUUAGAAGCAUAAACGGGUGGAACCGCGAAGGUCGAACGAGGGGAUUCAGCUCGUCGGCCUCGGACGAGCAGGGACGGUAACAGAGAGUAAUCCGAAUGAGAGGACCCGGCAAUUUAGGGAUUAAGCCGCGGCCCCGUCCCUGUCGCCUGAGCGCCCGGCGGGCUUACUUCUCCCUCUAGUAGGAUCGCCGCGACCCGUCGAGGAUUGAGUUGUGUUUUUUAUUGAGGUCCCGAGGCCCGCGUCGGACUGGUAUCCCGCACCUUUUGCCGGGUGUGGGCGAUGACCGAUCGCGGAGCUGUACGGACCCCCUCGGAGGUCACUGCCAGGAUCCCUGUCUCCCCUUCGGGGGGGAAAGGGGGUCUCGCGGCGUGAAAGAUGUCGGUAAUCCACCCGA
RNAcentral lists this ribosomal RNA (793 nucleotides) under Glyphocrangon regalis. Its description in RNAcentral is "eukaryotic LSU rRNA". It matches the Rfam family "Eukaryotic large subunit ribosomal RNA", at positions 42 to 647 of the family's 3401-position model. The record is from RNAcentral. Lineage: Eukaryota; Metazoa; Arthropoda; Malacostraca; Decapoda; Glyphocrangonidae.